Molecule: ribosomal RNA, 406 nt
Filed under: uncultured bacterium
Lineage: Bacteria
Description: partial 16S ribosomal RNA
Rfam family: Bacterial small subunit ribosomal RNA
Source: RNAcentral
AUUGAACGCUGGCGGCAGGCCUAACACAUGCAAGUCGAGCGAGCGGCGGACGGUAGAGUAAUUUCUGGGAAACUGCCUGAUGGAGGGGGAUACCUACUGGAAACGGUAGCUAAUACCGCAUCCCAUCAGAUGUGCCCCAAGGUGAUUAGCUAGUGGGUGGGGUAACGGCUAACCUAUGCGACGAUCCCUAGCUGCUCUGAGAGGAUGACCAGCCACACUGGAACGGAGAAACGGUCCAGACUCCUACGGGAGGCAGCAUUGGGUAAUAUUGCACAAUGGGAGCAAGCCUGAUGCAGCAAUGCCGCGUGUGUGAAGAAGGCCUACGGGUUGUAAAGCACUUUCAGCGGGGAGGCGUUACCCGCAGAAGAAGCACCGGCUAACUCCGUGCCAGCAGCCGCGGUAAUAC